This 756-nucleotide ribosomal RNA is filed under the name uncultured bacterium. RNAcentral describes it as "bacterial SSU rRNA". It matches the Rfam family "Bacterial small subunit ribosomal RNA", at positions 8 to 796 of the family's 1533-position model. The record is from RNAcentral.
AGAGUUUGAUCAUGGCUCAGAAUCAACGCUGGCGGCGCGCCUAACACAUGCAAGUCGAACGAGAAAGUGGAGCAAUCCAUGAGUACAGUGGCGUACGGGUGAGUAACACGUGGAUAACCUGCCCCUUUGUGGGGAAUACCGUUGGGAAACCGACGACAAUACCGCAUAAGCUCGAGAGAGGAAAGCAGCAAUGCGCAGAGGGAGGGGUCCGCGGUCGAUUAGCUAGUUGGUGAGGUAAUGGCUCACCAAGGCUGUGAUCGAUAGCCGGCCUGAGAGGGCACACGGCCACACUGGCACUGAAACACGGGCCAGACUCCUACGGGAGGCAGCAGUGGGGAAUCUUGCACAAUGGGGGAAACCCUGAUGCAGCGACGCCGCGUGAGCGAUGAAGCCCUUCGGGGUGUAAAGCUCUUUCGGCAGGGAAGAUUAUGACGGUACCUGCAGAAGCAGCUGCGGCUAACUACGUGCCAGCAGCCGCGGUAAUACGUAGGCAGCAAGCGUUGUUCGGAGUUACUGGGCGUAAAGGGUGCGUAGGCGGUCCUAUAAGUAUGGUGUGAAGUCUCCCGGCUUAACUGGGAGGGUGCGCUAUAGACUGUGGGACUAGAGUGUGGGAGAGGAAAGUGGAAUUCCUGGUGUAGCGGUGAAAUGCGUAGAUAUCAGGAGGAACACCGGUGGUGUAAACGGCUUUCUGGACCAUAACUGACGCUGAGGCACGAAAGCGUGGGUAGCAAACAGGAUUAGAUACCCUAGUAGUCC